GCCCUCUUUCGAACGUCUUUUAGCAGACAAUAAGACUUAAGUAGCGCUUGUUUGAAAAUGUAGGAAUAAGUUCCCUUUUUUAUUUUGUAAAAAAUAAACUUUAUGAA
Bradysia coprophila is the source of this 107-nucleotide long non-coding RNA. The record is from RefSeq and is a predicted model, not a curated record. NCBI's taxonomy places the organism in Eukaryota, Metazoa, Arthropoda, Insecta, Diptera, Sciaridae.